UACAGAGGGGGCAAGCGUUAUUCGGAAUUAUUGGGCGUAAAGGGCGCGUAGGCGGUUUCUUAAGUCAGAUGUGUAAUCCCCGAGCUUAACUUGGGAACUGCAUCUGAGACUGGGAGGCUAGAGUACUGGAGAGGGUGGUGGAAUUCCUCGUGUAGCGGUGAAAUGCGUAGAGAUGAGGAGGAACACCAGUGGCGAAGGCGGCCACCUGGACAGUAACUGACGCUGAGGCGCGAAAGUGUGGGUAGCAAAC
RNAcentral lists this ribosomal RNA (250 nucleotides) under uncultured bacterium. RNAcentral's name for it is "partial 16S ribosomal RNA". It matches the Rfam family "Bacterial small subunit ribosomal RNA", at positions 524 to 773 of the family's 1533-position model. The record is from RNAcentral.